Long non-coding RNA from Hypanus sabinus (Atlantic stingray), 553 nucleotides. RefSeq lists it as uncharacterized. The record is from RefSeq and is a predicted model, not a curated record. NCBI's taxonomy places the organism in Eukaryota, Metazoa, Chordata, Chondrichthyes, Myliobatiformes, Dasyatidae. The transcript is spliced from 3 exons.
CAGCUCAUCUUUGGAAUCUUCUCCAGAGCUGCAACCCUCCAGGAUAGUUUAAAGAUAGCCUUCUGCAAGUGCUCAAGAUUAUCCAUUCCACUGGUGGAUAGAACGAAGAUAAAGCUUCCCUGGUUCUCUGCUUCCACCACACCAGCCUCCAAAUGCAACAGAUCUGUCUCGGCGCACUGAAACCUUCUGGGCUCUGCGACUUCAGAACCGUUGGCUCUUUUAUACAUGUUGUAUGAGAACGUCCAGGGGGUUUGGUUUGUGGGGGAAGGUUAUCAGCACUCUUACAGAACUAAUGGGGGUACAAUUACCAAUGGACCCCGCUGUACAUCUUCUAAAUGAUGACUCCCACCUUUCCCUUAUGGAAAAAAUGCGCAAAAUCUGGCUGGCAGGCCUGACUACAGCUAAGAAGAUUGUAGUCCAGCGUUGGAAACCUCCCCAUGAUAUUUCAAGUACUAACUGGCUUCGGAGCUUUUUGGACAUUUCUUACCUGGAAUUAUCAUCAGCAAGAGUACAUGAUGCACGACCAAACACAAUCUUAAUGUGGACAAAUUUG